Molecule: non-coding RNA, 70 nt
Organism: Dipodomys ordii (Ord's kangaroo rat)
Lineage: Eukaryota; Metazoa; Chordata; Mammalia; Rodentia; Heteromyidae
Source: Rfam
GGAAAGGUGGUUCAGUGGUAGAGUGCUUGCCUUGCAUGCAUGAGGCCCUGGGUUCGAUUCCUCAGUACCA